This 2372-nucleotide ribosomal RNA is filed under the name activated sludge metagenome. Its description in RNAcentral is "bacterial LSU rRNA". It matches the Rfam family "Bacterial large subunit ribosomal RNA", at positions 14 to 2311 of the family's 2925-position model. The record is from RNAcentral.
AGGGCGUACGGUGGAUGCCUUGGCACUGACAGGCGAUGAAGGUCGUGGCAAACUGCGAUAAGCCUUGGGGAGGAGUAAGCAUCCGUUGAUCCAGGGAUGACCGAAUGGGCAAACCCAUACAGGUAAAACCUGUAUAUCCGUCUACUGAAUAAAUAGGUAGCGGAAGCUAGACCCGGGGAACUGAAACAUCUAAGUACCCGGAGGAAAAGAAAGAGAGAUCGAUUCCCUAAGUAGUGGCGAGCGAAAGGGGAAGAGCCCAAACCGAUGUCUACGUUAAAGGCUGCAGCCGUUGUAACGUCGGGGUAAUAGGACCGUUUGAGCGCAAUCUGCAAAUUGUGCUGCAAGUUACAAAAUAUCUGUUUAACUGAACCUGCUGGGAAGAGGGGCAAAGAGGGUGAUACCCCCGUAAGUGAAAAGCAGAUAUCUUGCAAGAGCGGCACCUGAGUACCGCGGGGCACGUGAAACCCUGUGGGAAUUCUCGAGGACCACCUCGAAAGGCUAAAUACUAGUCAGUGACCGAUAGUGAACAAGUACCGUGAGGGAAAGGCGAAAAGAACCGCUGUGAGCGGAGUGAAAUAGAACCUGAAACCGUAUGCUUACAAGGAGUAGGAGGGCUAUGCAGCAAUGUAUGCCUGACUGCGUGCCUUUUGUAGAAUGAUCCGGCGACUUACUUUAAUAUAGCGAGGUUAAGUGAUAGAAAUCACGGAGCCGAAGGGAAACCGAGUCUGAAUAGGGCGAUAGUUAUAUUAAGUAGACCCGAAACCAAGUGAUCUAUCCACGGUCAGGUUGAAGCAGGGGUAAGACCCUGUGGAGGACCGAACCGGUGUCUGUUGAAAAAGCCUCGGAUGAACUGUGGAUAGGGGUGAAAGGCCAAACAAACUUGGAAAUAGCUGGUUCUCCCCGAAAUAGCUUUAGGGCUAGCCUCGUGUGUUUCGUUGUUGAGGUAGAGCACUGAAAGAGCUAGGGGGUUUACCAAUCUACCAAACUCUAUCAAACUUCGAAUGCGACAACGUGAGAGCACGGGAGUCAGACUGCGGGUGAUAAUAUUCGUGGUCGAGAGGGAAACAACCCGGACCAACAGCUAAGGUCCCAAAAUGUAUGUUAAGUGAGGAAGGAUGUGGAAUCACACAGACAGCCAGGAGGUUGGCUUAGAAGCAGCCAUUCCUUCAAAGAGUGCGUAAUAGCUCACUGGUCGAGUGAUUCUGCGCCAAAAAUGAUUGGGGCUAAACAUACUACCGAAGCUUUGGACUCAGCAAUGAGUGGUAGGGGAGCAUUCUGUACCGGGAUGAAGGUUGAUCGUGAGGACGACUGGACUGUACAGAAGAGAGAAUGCCGGAAUGAGUAACGAUAAAAUGUGUGAAAAACAUAUUCGCCGAAAACCCAAGGUUUUCUGGGCAAUGCUAAUCAUCUCAGAGUUAGUCGGCCCCUAAGACGAGGCUUAACAGCGUAGUCGAUGGGAAGCAGGUUAAUAUUCCUGCACCGGUUUGCGGAGGUAAUCGUGAUGGAGUGACGCAGAAAGAUAAUGGCGCAGAGUGUUGGAUUACUCUGUUCUUAGUGUAGGCUUGAUGUCCAGGUAAAUCCGGAUGUCUUAUGGCUGAGGCAAUAGGGGAGCUCGGGCAACCGAGUGAAGGUCAUGAUUCUAGGCUGCCAAGAAAAACUUCUAAACGCGAAGCAGACCGACCGUACUACAAACCGACACAGGUGGGUGGGGUGAAUAACCUAAGGCGCUCGAGAUAACUCUUGUUAAGGAACUCGGCAAAUUAGUCCCGUAACUUCGGGAAAAGGGACGCCUUUUUAGCGUGAAGUAGAACAUACGGAGCGUGAAGAGGUCGCAGAGAAAUGGGCCAAGCGACUGUUUAGCAAAAACACAGGGCUCUGCAAAAUCGUAAGAUAAAGUAUAGGGUCUGACACCUGCCCGGUGCUGGAAGGUUAAAAGGAGAGGUUAGCGUGAUUUAUCAUGCGAAGCUUUGAAUUGAAGCCCCAGUAAACGGCGGCCGUAACUAUGACGGUCCUAAGGUAGCGAAAUUCCUUGUCAGGUAAGUUCUGACCUGCACGAAUGGUGUAACGACUUGGUCACUGUCUCAACAAGAGGCUCGGUGAAAUUGUAAUGUUAGUGAAGAUGCUGACUACCUGUAGUUGGACGGGAAGACCCCGUGCACCUUUACUGUACCCUGACACUGUGAUUUGGCAACGUAUGUGUAGGAUAGGUGGGAGACUUUGAAGUUGGGACGCCAGUCUCGAUGGAGUCGUUGUUGAAAUACCACCCUUACUUUGUUGGAUUACUAACUGAUACCCGUUAUCCGGGAUCAGGACAAUGUCUGGCGGGCAGUUUGACUGGGGCGGUCGCCUCCUAAAGAGUAACGGAGGCGCCC